RNAcentral lists this ribosomal RNA (497 nucleotides) under uncultured bacterium. RNAcentral describes it as "partial 16S ribosomal RNA". It matches the Rfam family "Bacterial small subunit ribosomal RNA", at positions 28 to 507 of the family's 1533-position model. The record is from RNAcentral.
GAUGAACGCUGGCGGCGUGCCUAAUACAUGCAAGUCGAGCGAACAGACGAGGAGCUUGCUCCUCUGACGUUAGCGGCGGACGGGUGAGUAACAUGUGGAUAACCUACCUAUAAGACUGGGAUAACUUCGGGAAACCGGAGCUAAUACCGGAUAAUAUAUUGAACCGCAUGGUUCAAUAGUGAAAGACGGUUUUGCUGUCACUUAUAGAUGGAUCCGCGCCGCAUUAGCUAGUUGGUAAGGUAACGGCUUACCAAGGCAACGAUGCGUAGCCGACCUGAGAGGGGGAUCGGCCACACUGGAACUGAGACACGGUCCAGACUCCUACGGGAGGCAGCAGUAGGGAAUCUUCCGCAAUGGGCGAAAGCCUGACGGAGCAACGCCGCGUGAGUGAUGAAGGUCUUCGGAUCGUAAAACUCUGUUAUUAGGGAAGAACAAAUGUGUAAGUAACUAUGCACGUCUUGACGGUACCUAAUCAGAAAGCCACGGCUAACUACGUG